This 272-nucleotide long non-coding RNA is filed under the name Elaeis guineensis (African oil palm). RNAcentral's name for it is "long non-coding RNA (EGUI_LNC031297)". The record is from RNAcentral. Lineage: Eukaryota; Viridiplantae; Streptophyta; Magnoliopsida; Arecales; Arecaceae.
UAUAUAAUUUUUAACAUAAAAAAUUAAAUUAGAUCUAAUUUUUAUCAUAAAAAAUUAGAGAAGAAAAAUUCUUCUUAAGGGUGUGAAAGGAAGAGAAAAAGGUUCUUUCUUGUGCAUAGAAAAUUGAGAAGGAUUCUUCUCUUGAUCUCUAUUGUAGAGAUCGGAUACAUAGAUUCAAGAAGAAAAGAAGAGGAUCUCUUUAUUCUUCAAUUUCAUCAUAUUCCUCUCAAAUCAGUCAAUAGAUGGUGUCUUCGCAAGCUAGCACUCUCAGA